RNAcentral lists this ribosomal RNA (551 nucleotides) under uncultured bacterium. Its description in RNAcentral is "bacterial SSU rRNA". It matches the Rfam family "Bacterial small subunit ribosomal RNA", at positions 36 to 619 of the family's 1533-position model. The record is from RNAcentral.
CUGGCGGCGUGCCUAACACAUGCAAGUCGAACGAGAAAGUGGAGCAAUCCAUGAGUAAAGUGGCGACCGGGUGAGUAACACGUGACUAACCUACCUCCGAGUGGGGAAUAACUCCGGGAAACCGGGGCUAAUACCGCAUAACAUCGCAAGAUCAAAGCAGCAAUGCGCUUGGAGAGGGGGUCGCGGCUGAUUAGCUAGUUGGCGGGGUAACGGCCCACCAAGGCGAAGAUCGGUAUCCGGCCUGAGAGGGCGCACGGACACACUGGAACUGAAACACGGUCCAGACUCCUACGGGAGGCAGCAGUGGGGAAUUUUGCGCAAUGGGGGAAACCCUGACGCAGCAACGCCGCGUGGAGGAUGAAGCCCUUUGGGGCGUAAACUCCUUUCGACUCGGACGAUAAUGACGGUACGAGUGGAAGAAGCACCGGCUAACUCUGUGCCAGCAGCCGCGGUAAUACAGAGGGUGCAAGCGUNGUUCGGAAUUAUUGGGCGUAAAGGGCGCGUAGGCGGUGCGGUAAGUCACCUGUGAAAUCUCCUGGCUUAACUGGGAG